UAGCAGUCACAUCAGGUUGCUCACAAUUGC
This 30-nucleotide non-coding RNA is filed under the name Rattus norvegicus (Norway rat). Lineage: Eukaryota; Metazoa; Chordata; Mammalia; Rodentia; Muridae. The record is from RNAcentral.